RNAcentral lists this ribosomal RNA (414 nucleotides) under uncultured microorganism. RNAcentral's name for it is "bacterial SSU rRNA". It matches the Rfam family "Archaeal small subunit ribosomal RNA", at positions 459 to 872 of the family's 1478-position model. The record is from RNAcentral.
CAGCCGCCGCGGUAAUACCGGCGGCUCGAGUGGUGGCCACUUUUAUUGGGUCUAAAGCGUCCGUAGCCGGCUUGGCAAGUCCCCUGGGAAAUCUGGCGGCUUAACCGUCAGGCGUCCAGAGGAUACUGCCAGGCUUGGGACCGGGAGAGGUGAGAGGUACCUCAGGGGUAGGGGUGAAAUCUUGUGAUCCCUGAGGGACCACCAGUGGCGAAGGCGUCUCACUAGAACGGGUCCGACGGUCAGGGACGAAAGCUGGGGGCACGAACCGGAUUAGAUCCCCGGGUAGUCCCAGCCGUAAACGAUGCUCGCUAGGUGUCAGGCAUGGCAUGACUGUGCCUGGUGCCGAAGGGAAGCCGUGAAGCGAGCCACCUGGGAAGUACGGCCGCAAGGCUGAAACUUAAAGGAAUUGGCGGG